RNAcentral lists this ribosomal RNA (463 nucleotides) under Prevotella sp. oral taxon G70. RNAcentral describes it as "bacterial SSU rRNA". It matches the Rfam family "Bacterial small subunit ribosomal RNA", at positions 28 to 479 of the family's 1533-position model. Lineage: Bacteria; Pseudomonadati; Bacteroidota; Bacteroidia; Bacteroidales; Prevotellaceae. The record is from RNAcentral.
GAUGAACGCUGGCUACAGGCUUAACACAUGCAAGUCGAGGGGAAACGGCAUUGAGUGCUUGCACUGAAUGGACGUCGACCGGCGCACGGGUGAGUAACGCGUAUCCAACCUUCCCGUUACUGCGGGAUAACCUGCCGAAAGGCAGACUAAUACCGCAUGUUCUUCGAUGACGGCAUCAGAUUCGAAGCAAAGAUCCGUCGGUAACGGAGGGGGAUGCGUCUGAUUAGCUUGUUGGCGGGGCGACGGCCCACCAAGGCGACGAUCAGUAGGGGUUCUGAGAGGAAGGUCCCCCACAUUGGAACUGAGACACGGUCCAAACUCCUACGGGAGGCAGCAGUGAGGAAUAUUGGUCAAUGGGCGGAAGCCUGAACCAGCCAAGUAGCGUGCAGGAGGACGGCCCUACGGGUUGUAAACUGCUUUUAUGCGGGGAUAAAGUGAGGGACGUGUCCCUUUUGCAGGUACC